Molecule: transfer RNA, 73 nt
Filed under: Acetivibrio thermocellus ATCC 27405
Lineage: Bacteria; Bacillati; Bacillota; Clostridia; Acetivibrionales; Acetivibrionaceae
Description: Clostridium thermocellum ATCC 27405 tRNA
Rfam family: tRNA
About the family: Transfer RNA (tRNA) molecules are approximately 80 nucleotides in length. Their secondary structure includes four short double-helical elements and three loops (D, anti-codon, and T loops).
Source: Rfam by way of RNAcentral
GCGCCAUUAGCUCAGUUGGUAGAGCAACUGACUCUUAAUCAGUGGGCCCGGGGUUCGAGUCCCUGAUGGCGCA